CCCGAAACCAGGUGAUCUACCCUUGGUCAGGUUGAAGUUCAGGUAACACUGAAUGGAGGACCGAACCGACUUACGUUGAAAAGUGAGCGGAUGAACUGAGGGUAGCGGAGAAAUUCCAAUCGAACUUGGAGAUAGCUGGUUCUCUCCGAAAUAGCUUUAGGGCUAGCCUCAAGUGAUGAUUAUUGGAGGUAGAGCACUGUUUGGACGAGGGGCCCCUCUCGGGUUACCGAAUUCAGACAAACUCCGAAUGCCAAUUAAUUUAACUUGGGAGUCAGAACAUGGGUGAUAAGGUCCGUGUUCGAAAGGGAAACAGCCCAGACCACCAGCUAAGGUCCCAAAAUAUAUGUUAAGUGGAAAAGGAUGUGGCGUUGCCCAGACAACUAGGAUGUUGGCUUAGAAGCAGCCAUCAUUUAAAGAGUGCGUAAUAGCUCACUAGUCGAGUGACACUGCGCCGAAAAUGUACCGGGGCUAAACAUAUUACCGAAGCUGUGGAUUGUCCUUUGGACAAUGGUAGGAGAGCGUUCUAAGGGCGUCGAAGCAUGAUCGCAAGGACAUGUGGAGCGCUUAGAAGUGAGAAUGCCGGUGUGAGUAGCGAAAGACGGGUGAGAAUCCCGUCCACCGAUUGACUAAGGUUUCCAGAGGAAGGCUCGUCCGCUCUGGGUUAGUCGGGUCCUAAGCUGAGGCCGACAGGCGUAGGCGAUGGAUAACAGGUUGAUAUUCCUGUACCACCUAGUAUCGUUUUAAUCGAUGGGGGGACGCAGUAGGAUAGGCGAAGCGUGCUGUUGGAGUGCACGUCCAAGCAGUAAGGCUGAGUGUUAGGCAAAUCCGGCACUCAUAAGGCUGAGCUGUGAUGGGGAGAGGAAAUUGUUUCCUCGAGUCGUUGAUUUCACACUGCCGAGAAAAGCCUCUAGAUAGAUAACAGGUGCCCGUACCGCAAACCGACACAGGUAGUCAAGAUGAGAAUUCUAAGGUGAGCGAGCGAACUCUCGUUAAGGAACUCGGCAAAAUGACCCCGUAACUUCGGGAGAAGGGGUGCUCUUUAGGGUUCACGCCCAGAAGAGCCGCAGUGAAUAGGCCCAAGCGACUGUUUAUCAAAAACACAGGUCUCUGCUAAACCGUAAGGUGAUGUAUAGGGGCUGACGCCUGCCCGGUGCUGGAAGGUUAAGAGGAGUGGUUAGCUUCUGCGAAGCUACGAAUCGAAGCCCCAGUAAACGGCGGCCGUAACUAUAACGGUCCUAAGGUAGCGAAAUUCCUUGUCGGGUAAGUUCCGACCCGCACGAAAGGCGUAACGAUUUGGGCACUGUCUCAACGAGAGACUCGGUGAAAUCAUAGUACCUGUGAAGAUGCAGGUUACCCGCGACAGGACGGAAAGACCCCGUGGAGCUUUACUGUAGCCUGAUAUUGAAAUUCGGCACAGCUUGUACAGGAUAGGUAGGAGCCUUUGAAACGUGAGCGCUAGCUUACGUGGAGGCGUUGGUGGGAUACUACCCUAGCUGUGUUGGCUUUCUAACCCGCACCACUUAUCGUGGUGGGAGACAGUGUCAGGCGGGCAGUUUGACUGGGGCGGUCGCCUCCUAAAAGGUAACGGAGGCGCUCAAAGGUUCCCUCAGAAUGGUUGGAAAUCAUUCAUAGAGUGUAAAGGCAUAAGGGAGCUUGACUGCGAGACCUACAAGUCGAGCAGGGUCGAAAGACGGACUUAGUGAUCCGGUGGUUCCGCAUGGAAGGGCCAUCGCUCAACGGAUAAAAGCUACCCCGGGGAUAACAGGCUUAUCUCCCCCAAGAGUUCACAUCGACGGGGAGGUUUGGCACCUCGAUGUCGGCUCAUCGCAUCCUGGGGCUGUAGUCGGUCCCAAGGGUUGGGCUGUUCGCCCAUUAAAGCGGUACGCGAGCUGGGUUCAGAACGUCGUGAGACAGUUCGGUCCCUAUCCGUCGUGGGCGUAGGAAAUUUGAGAGGAGCUGUCCUUAGUACGAGAGGACCGGGAUGGACAUACCUCUGGUGUACCAGUUGUCGUGCCAACGGCAUAGCUGGGUAGCUAUGUAUGGACGGGAUAAGUGCUGAAAGCAUCUAAGCAUGAAGCCCCCCUCAAGAUGAGAUUUCCCAACUUCGGUUAU
This 2112-nucleotide ribosomal RNA is filed under the name Staphylococcus epidermidis. Its description in RNAcentral is "bacterial LSU rRNA". It matches the Rfam family "Bacterial large subunit ribosomal RNA", at positions 714 to 2830 of the family's 2925-position model. The record is from RNAcentral. Lineage: Bacteria; Bacillati; Bacillota; Bacilli; Caryophanales; Staphylococcaceae. RNAcentral also lists the same sequence under 2 other names.